UACAGCCACAUCGCGUUGAAACACUGGUUUCCAUAAGAUCACCGAAGUUAAGCAACGUCGAACCUGGCCAGUAUCUAGAUGGGUGAGCGUUUAGGAAUUCUAGAUGCU
Molecule: non-coding RNA, 108 nt
Organism: Acanthosepion pharaonis
Lineage: Eukaryota; Metazoa; Mollusca; Cephalopoda; Sepiida; Sepiidae
Source: the annotation of a GenBank genome assembly